AUUGAACGCUGGCGGCGUGCUUAACACAUGCAAGUCGAUCGGUAACGCGGGGGCAACCCUGGCGACGAGAGGCGGACGGGUGAGGAACGCUUGGGAAUCUGCCCUUCAGCGGGGGACAACACGGGGAAACUCGUGCUAAUACCGCAUACGCUCCACGGAGGAAAGCCGGGGACCGCAAGGCCUGGCACUGAAGGAUCAGCGCAAGUCGGAGUAGCUAGUUGGCGGGGUAACGGCCCACCAAGGCGACGAUCCGUAGCUGGUCUGAGAGGACGAUCAGCCACACUGGGACUGAGACACGGCCCAGACUCCUACGGGAGGCAGCAGUGGGGAAUAUUGGACAAUGGGGGAAACCCUGAUCCAGCGACGCCGCGUGGGUGAAGAAGGCCUGCGGGUUGUAAAGCCCUUUCGGUAGGGACGAAAGCUCUCGACCUAACACGUCGGGAGGUUGACUUAACCUACAAAAGAAGCACCGGCUAACCCUGUGCCAGCCGCCGCAGUAA
RNAcentral lists this ribosomal RNA (500 nucleotides) under uncultured bacterium. RNAcentral describes it as "partial 16S ribosomal RNA". It matches the Rfam family "Bacterial small subunit ribosomal RNA", at positions 29 to 523 of the family's 1533-position model. The record is from RNAcentral.